UACGAAGGGUGCAAGCGUUACUCGGAAUUACUGGGCGUAAAGAGCGUGUAGGCGGCUAGUUAAGUCGGGUGUGAAAUCCCUCGGCUCAACCGAGGAAGUGCAUUCGAAACUAUCUAGCUCGAGGAUGGCAGAGGAAGGUGGAAUUCCUAGUGUAGAGGUGAAAUUCGUAGAUAUUAGGAGGAAUACCGGUGGCGAAGGCGGCCUUCUGGACCAGUCCUGACACUGAGACGCGAAAGCGUGGGUAGCAAACAGG
Molecule: ribosomal RNA, 253 nt
Filed under: uncultured bacterium
Lineage: Bacteria
Description: partial 16S ribosomal RNA
Rfam family: Bacterial small subunit ribosomal RNA
Source: RNAcentral